This 429-nucleotide ribosomal RNA is filed under the name bacterium nerSDSsum06-1. RNAcentral describes it as "bacterial SSU rRNA". It matches the Rfam family "Bacterial small subunit ribosomal RNA", at positions 1026 to 1455 of the family's 1533-position model. The record is from RNAcentral.
ACUCUGAGACAGGUGCUGCAUGGCUGUCGUCAGCUCGUGUUGUGAAUGUUGGGUUAAGUCCCGCAACGAGCGCAACCCUUAUCCUUGUUUGCCAGCGAGUAAUGUCGGGAACUCCAGGGAGACUGCCGGUGAUAAACCGGAGGAAGGUGGGGACGACGUCAAGUCAUCAUGGCCCUUACGAGUAGGGCUACACACGUGCUACAAUGGCGCAUACAGAGGGCAGCAAGCUAGCGAUAGUGAGCGAAUCCCAAAAAGUGCGUCGUAGUCCGGAUUGGAGUCUGCAACUCGACUCCAUGAAGUCGGAAUCGCUAGUAAUCGUGGAUCAGAAUGCCACGGUGAAUACGUUCCCGGGCCCUGUACACACCGCCCGUCACACCAUGGGAGUGGGCUGCAAAAGAAGUAGGUAGUUUUACCUUCGGGAGGACGCUU